AGUUUUAUAGUCAAUAAAUGAUUUUAAAUUGCAAAUUUAAAGUAAGAUGCUAUGUCUUAAAGCUU
RNAcentral lists this transfer RNA (65 nucleotides) under Staphylinidae sp. BMNH 1274226. RNAcentral describes it as "tRNA-Cys". The record is from RNAcentral. Lineage: Eukaryota; Metazoa; Arthropoda; Insecta; Coleoptera; Staphylinidae.